GACGAACGCUGGCGGCGUGCUUAACACAUGCAAGUCGAACGGAAAGGCCCUGCUUGCAGGGUACUCGAGUGGCGAACGGGUGAGUAACACGUGGGUGAUCUGCCCUGCACUUCGGGAUAAGCCUGGGAAACUGGGUCUAAUUCCGGAUAGGAGCCAUUUUUAGUGUGAUGGUUGGAAAGUUUUUUCGGUGUAGGAUGAGCUCGCGGCCUAUCAGCUUGUUGGUGGGGUAAUGGCCUACCAAGGCGGCGACGGGUAGCCGGCCUGAGAGGGUGGACGGCCACAUUGGGACUGAGAUACGGCCCAGACUCCUACGGGAGGCAGCAGUGGGGAAUAUUGCACAAUGGGCGCAAGCCUGAUGCAGCGACGCCGCGUGGGGGAUGACGGCCUUCGGGUUGUAAACUCCUUUCGCUAGGGACGAAGCUUUUUGUGACGGUACCUAGAUAAGAAGCACCGGCUAACUACGUG
RNAcentral lists this ribosomal RNA (465 nucleotides) under uncultured bacterium. RNAcentral's name for it is "partial 16S ribosomal RNA". It matches the Rfam family "Bacterial small subunit ribosomal RNA", at positions 28 to 507 of the family's 1533-position model. The record is from RNAcentral.